AGCGCGGCAGGAAGGGAGGAGAAAAUGAACCCGGCUUUCUCGCAACACUUUCUUUUUCAUGAACAUAUUUUAAGCAUACUAGCAACUUACUACACAUACAAUUACAACGUUUAUAUACCUUUUUAAAUGGUUAAACUUCUUUUAAAUGAGUCCCAAACGAUUCGGGUUUCCCUGCUAAAUCAGUAAUGUGUAAAUGAAAGAAAAGCAAAACGCAUGGUGCUGGAGCCCCCACGGCACAGAAGAGAAAGAGUCACUAUCUUGGAGCGCUUCUGGAGGACGUGCACUCAUUUCUGUUAGAUUUUCUAGGUAGGGUGCCUCCAUAUAGCCAUCAAAUCCUAAAGCUUCAUUUCAAAAUUACACAGUAAGAAAGACUGCUCUGAAGAUGAGUAAGUGAGUUACUGUUCCUCUUACUGUUCCCGAAAUAAAAAGGCAAAGAGUGGUUCCAUCCGACAUA
Non-coding RNA from Pimephales promelas (fathead minnow), 454 nucleotides. Lineage: Eukaryota; Metazoa; Chordata; Actinopteri; Cypriniformes; Leuciscidae. The record is from RefSeq and is a predicted model, not a curated record.